GGCGACCUCUGCGUAGUAAUACAUCUUGUACCGGAACCGCGACGCGGCCACGCCGUAAAACAUCCGAGUGCUGAACGAUGACCUCGAGUCAG
Molecule: ribosomal RNA, 92 nt
Filed under: Beauveria bassiana
Lineage: Eukaryota; Fungi; Ascomycota; Sordariomycetes; Hypocreales; Cordycipitaceae
Description: partial 28S ribosomal RNA
Source: RNAcentral